AGUGAACGCUGGCGGUAGGCCUAACACAUGCAAGUCGAACGGCAGCACAGUAAGAGCUUGCUCUUACGGGUGGCGAGUGGCGGACGGGUGAGGAAUACAUCGGAAUCUACUUUUUCGUGGGGGAUAACGUAGGGAAACUUACGCUAAUACCGCAUACGACCUACGGGUGAAAGCAGGGGAUCUUCGGACCUUGCGCGAUUGAAUGAGCCGAUGUCGGAUUAGCGAGUUGGCGGGGUAAAGGCCCACCAAGGCGACGAUCCGUAGCUGGUCUGAGAGGAUGAUCAGCCCCACUGGACCUGAGACCCGGUCCAGCCUCCUACGGGAGGCAGCAGUGGGGAAUAUUGGCCAAUGGGCGCAAGCCUGAUCCAGCCAUACCGCGUGGGUGAAGAAGGCCUUCGGGUUGUAAAGCCCUUUUGUUGGGAAAGAAAAGCAGCAGGUUAAUACCCCGCUGUUCUGACGGUACCCAAAGAAUAAGCACCGGCUACCUUCGU
This 491-nucleotide ribosomal RNA is filed under the name uncultured bacterium. Its description in RNAcentral is "partial 16S ribosomal RNA". It matches the Rfam family "Bacterial small subunit ribosomal RNA", at positions 29 to 506 of the family's 1533-position model. The record is from RNAcentral.